Molecule: long non-coding RNA, 15728 nt
Filed under: Triticum aestivum (bread wheat)
Lineage: Eukaryota; Viridiplantae; Streptophyta; Magnoliopsida; Poales; Poaceae
Description: long non-coding RNA (TAES_LNC009483)
Rfam family: MIR9772 microRNA precursor family (bases 29-124)
Source: RNAcentral
UCGACUCCGUCCCUACUUUUGCUCUCGGUAGCAGCUGUUGAGAUGAGAUUACCCCAUACCCUGCAGAGAGCGUCAGCUCGACGCCGUACACGCGUAUGGGGUAAUCUCAACUCAACAGCCGCUCCCUGUGAGGUUUUCCUUGGUGUUUGUUAAAUCCCAAGAAAGUUGACCGCUGGGAUAAAUUAAUGCUUUCAGAGGACAAGGUUAGUGGUGCAAUUUCUUGGUUAUUGACAGAAUUUUUUAGUCUUCGUCGGCAGGUUCUGCGCAGGAAGCUUUUGAAGAGGCAGUGUUGGUCUUCAGAUGAAACAGCUGCCUAUAGAGCAGAUCUGGAGACUUAGCAGCUGCCUGUGUAUCAGAUCUGGAGGAGGAGCUGGUUGUUUUGUGCCUCGUGAGGAGGAUACAGAUUGAUAGAUGAACUAGUCUUAUCAUUAUAGUGUACAUUUCAUGUUCCUAGCUUGCUCAAUACUUGAGUUCUUAUGCCAGUACACUAUGGAAGAAAGUAAUCUAUUGUUAAAUAUGACUUGAUUGGUAAUGACACUAUGGCAGAAGGUAAUUAUGUUAUAGUGCAGCUUUGCUAUCUUUGUAAUCAGGCCAUGUAAUUCCUGGCUGGUCGAUGGCUAAGUUAAUUCAGAACGGGUCUCAUUUUUUGAGCCUAUUUCUUGGGUGAGGGUACUCGCCUUUUUCUCAUCUAUUUUUGUGUGGAAAUACUGUGCACACGAUGGUUGCUGGACAAAAAUCACAUGACGCUCUGAUCUACAUGGAUACAUGGCUUUAAUUUUGUGUCAUGCGUGGUGAAUCGGUUGCAUAAUAUAGUCCAUGUAGCAGUUGCCCAUGGAUCGGGUCUGGAAGAGGAACUGGUUGUUUUGGGUCUUCCGAGGAGGACACAAACUGCAGCCGAAACUAUAGAUGAAGUAGUCUUAUCAUUUUAUGUACGGUACAAAUAUACUGAACUAGUCCAUGUAUAUCUGAUUUUUUCAGAAUUUUUUCAAAUGUAGAAAUAUGAAAUUUGAAUUUUGCAAAUGGAGGCCUGCAUGGAGCUCGGCCUCUUAAGUUUAAAAAUCUCCAGAUUAACAGGAAACUGAAUAUAGUGGCGCAUGAGAUUGCAAAGUUUAGUAUUGUUAUUGUAUAUUUAUUAACAGUGUUUCGCCCUGCAUGGCACGAGAUGUAAAGAGUGAUUGUAUGAAUGUUCCUGCUCGCUCAAUAGUUGAGUUCUUAUGUCAGUAAACUAUUUGAUAUGCUUUGUUGACGAACAUAUACUUUUGUAAGUAAUCUCUUCUACAUGUUUUUGUUAUUAGAUGGUACUGUUUUCUUCUCUUGGGUGAGGGUACUCGCCUUUUUCUCAUCUAUUUUAGUGGCUUAGCUGCAGUUGCAGACCGGUGACAAAGAUUAUACAUGUACAGUAUAAUAUAUAUACAACAUAAUUUUAGCACGAAAAGUAGACUACAAGAUUGUAAAAUUUGAUAUAAGUUUAACCAAUAGUCACAAAGACAUACAUUAUAAUUAAGAAAACUAAUUCUGUUACAGCAUGAACCUCGUCAAAAAUUUGACACAUAUAAGAUAAACAAUUAAAGCUAAUGUAAAAUCAAAUGCAAGAGUGUUCUCGUAUGAAGCAUGUAGCAGAAAAAAAAUUGUUUGGAAUUAAUAGUAUGCUCCAAGCAUUCAAAAUAUAUAACAUCCAAGACAACAGAAUAUAUAUCAUCAAACUCAUGCCAUUUGAUUUUAUUACAUGGAGAUUUGUCUGAAUUUUUUUAGUUUUCCUUUUGCCUUUUUCUGUUUGCUUGAUUAAGUCACCUAGAUGAGACUUGCGUAAUUCUCGUUUUAUGAGAGCUAAACAUAUCCUAAUACAAUCUUGCUAAGUAUGUCACUUGAUUGAGACUUGGUUAUAUCUUAGUCGGCCGAGACCUAGCCACACCCUUCUUUCUAUCCAAAAAAAGGAAGAGCGCACCAAAAAAAUCCAGAAAAACGCCGCAACUUACGCUCUCCUAAUAAUAAUUUUACUUGACAUACAGGAAUUGAUGAUGUGGCAUAGGUGCAUAGAUAAGAAACAUAGGUAGUGGGUUUUUUAGCGGAACUUGCUACUUCAAUUAAAUCAGGUAGUGGUACACUUUGCGGCUAUCACCGAGUUCGCAAACUCUGGUGAUACCCAGAUCCAGUCUUACGAAGUAUAUUUAAGCGGCCUUAUUCGCCUACUGACGCACCCACUUUACCAUAAACUCCUCAAAACCAUGGAGUUCUUUCACCUUCUCCACGAACGGCUUGUUUGCUGAUGGAUCUUUCAUCUUGGCUAAUCUUCUGCACCACCAACUGAAAAUUGGAUUUGAGAAUGAUAUUUUGGAUCCCCAUUUCCCUAGCUAGCUGCAAAGCUCGUUUGCACCGCCUGCUUAGGUUCCGUUGUGGACGGAAAAAUGACACGUCCCCGCUCAGAAACAGCCAUGGUGGUCCUAGAGAACUGCUCCUCCACUCCAUCCAUCCCAAACUAUGUUCAUAUUAGGAUUUUUUAAGCCAAACUUUGUCAAUUUUGACGAAGUUUACACAAAAAAUUCUAAACAUUCGAGAUACCAAAUCAGCAUAAUUAGAUUCACCAUGAAAUAUAUUUUCAUAUACUAUAUAAUUGGCAUUAUAAAUUUGGGAAAUUUCUUUAUAAACUUGGUGAACGUUUGCGAAGCUUGACUUUUACAAAAACCAAUGCACAAUAUAUUAUGGGCCAAGGGGAGAAUAGAGGAGUAGUGUUAAUUAUUUGGGAUAAAUUAUUUUUGCAUAUUAGGAGGGGUUGCCCUCACUAGAUCCACCCUGCUUAGUUGUUGGUAAAACAUGUUGAGUCUGGCGAGUCCCACUUUGCCUAGAAGGCCAGAAAUAACACCACUUUGACCAGAAAAUAACAGAGAAACAUGCGUGCCACUUAUAUGUACUCCGUUCAUGCGAGAUUAAAAGCCCAGAUGGUGUAGGAAGCACGUGAGUUUCUCUUAGACUGGCUGAUUAGGAAGCACCUUAGCCUAGAGGGCUGAAGAGAAUAUGGGCGUUUUGUAGAAAGAGAGCUGAUGAGAUUAAUUGUUCUGUUUUUAUAGGGGUAAGCACACUGCAUGUGAUGCAAUAUAGCCAUAACUAUACGAAGCUCAUUGAAUGUUGCCACGCUCAUUAACCCCGCACCAUUAUUUAAUCAUGCCUUGGUGUCGGUGUACUAGCCUGCCAACCUUUUAAAUGCAGACAUAGGUAGUAGUUAACAUUUUAGUUAAUACCAUGUGAAUCAAACUCUAGUCAUGACAGGACUUGACACAUUUAGUAUUUGCCAAUGUGUCCCCGUAGAAACACUGGACUUGAGUGGUUGCUCACUUGGCUCAAAAUCUUAUGGAAAACCCACAAAAUAUACAUAAUGGAUGGUGAAUUGAUUCAUAGUAAUUUAGCAGCUCACCCCAGGGGUGCAUGAAGGGAAAUGGCGAGAACGGAGGAGGAAUACCACUGGGUGGAGCUUGUCAUCGCAAUGCGCCGAUAACUUUGAUGGCCAUUAACUCAUUUUUAUUUGUCAUGAAUAUAAUCUACAUAUUAGUAUAGUUUAUUAUCUUUAUGUAAAAAAUUGGUUAAUAGUCUGUCCGGUGGGCCUACCGAAUGCUUGUUCUACCAAGACGCUUUGUGAGGCUUGGCUUGAUGAACGUGCAAUACAUCAAACUCAGAAGUGGACUUGGACUGACUUGUCAAAGUUUAGGAACCAUCGAAACUGAAGAUCUUUCUUUGUGACUAGCCCAACAAUAUUUACCAACAUCUGACCUGCUUUAACAUAGACAUGCGUCACAUGUGGCUGCGGUAUUUGUGGGAGGGACGGUUCAUGGAGACACUGCUCUUGGAACUCAACAUUUCAUGUUGUGUUUGGGAGCCCGAGGACCCAUACUUGCUUGAUGUUUUGAUGGCAAAUAUGGAACAUGACGCAAGAUGAUGGAUUUUUAUACUCAUGGAUUCUCACCCCCAUGGCUAUUUGCUAUGGUCCUAGUUUUCCUUUGGAUCUUCUUUUGUCAUUUGUAGGGAUUCAUCAGGGAAUUAUAUGUUGAGUCAUCUUCCGUGAAACUCCUAGGUGUUAGUGACCCUGCAUGUCUAGAAGUAAUUGCAUGUUGCGAGGAGCUCACUCUAGCUUCUGAUAUGAAUAUUUGUCAUCUGGUCAUUGCUUCUGACUGCAGGAUGGUUUUUGAAGACAUCAACAAUGAUACUGGCAGCUUGCAUGGAAACAUCAUUAAGGAGAUUAGAGCUACGGUUGCUCUUUUUGGAUCCUAUUCUUUCAUCUUCGAAAGUAGGGAGUCCAACAUCGAGAUGUGUAGCCACCUUAGACACGCUAUGGGUGUCUCAAGGUCGUCAUUUAUGUCUUCUACAGCCUCCUAAUUUACAUUGUAUUCACAUGAACAUUUUGAACACUGAAUAAAGUUGAUCCAUUUUAUCCUAAAAAGAUAGUAGAAGCACUCAAGUGAACUCUUGUUUCAGGGUUUAAGGCCAUCUCCAACGCUUGGGCGCUUAAAAUCUUGAGCAAAUCAAUAUGCAUAAAGCGUUUGGCGCUAGCAGAUGCAUUUUGUUUAUGUUUUUUAAGUGCCUGACUCCCCCUUAUGUGUCAAUGCAAGAAAAAAUAGCCGGGAAAGAAGCAAAAAUGCCAAACAGUCGGGAUUUAAUUCCUAGCACCCAGAUUGUAUGUCCUAACACGCCGUUCCUUGGUUAUUGGUUGGCCAUGCUCACACGUGUACACUAUUGGGCUGUCCCAAUGUCCGCAUUUGGGAAGCUUCUGGGUUAGGAUUUUUUCUAUGUUCUAUGCCGGGAUUUUUCUACUUUUUUAUGUUAAUUUUUCCUCUUUUUUAUUUUUCCAUCUUUCAUUAUCUCCUUUUGUGUUUUUCAUAUUUUUGAAAUCCACGACCAUUUUCAAAUUUAAAACUUUGUAAGCUCGUAACAUCUUCUCCAAAUCGUGAACAAAAUUCAAAUCCGGUGCUAAGGCGCUGACUAGCGGGAGCAACUAACUGGAGUUUACCCCUGCGAGGGACAUCUAUGGGUUACUUUUGGCGUCAGUUCACUAGCGGGAGCACAUAUUUUCUUGUGGAAAACACACUAAAUAUACAUAAUGGAUAGUGAAUUGCUUGGUAGUAAUUCAGCAACUAACCUUAGGGGUGGAUGAAUGAGUUGGCGAGAGAGGAGGAAUACCACUGGCUGGGGCUCGCCGUCGGAAUGCUAGCCGAUCAUUGUGAUGCCCAUUAACACAUUUUUAUUUGUCAUAAAUAUAAUCUAAAUGUUAAUAAAAUUUCAUAUUUUCUGUGAAAAAUUUCUUAAUAAUAGAGAAUAUAUAGGACGAUAGUUUGGGACACCUAGGUGCCCAGGCACCUUGCCUAUCCGUCGUUGGAUCGUGUUCAGCGACUGAUUUGGCAACAAAUGUAAAUGCCUUAAUUACUAGUUAAUUUGGCAGGCUUUAAUUCUUUAACCAUCCCAUGCAUGCAUGUCACCUCAUAGAAAAGGAAGGAGAUUAAAAUACCAUACUGAAUAAAAAUUAGCACUUAUUGUUUCGUAGAAUAAGUCACUAGGUAUGUAAAUACUCGUGUAUUUUACGUAAUUUCAGUAGUAGGCAUAGACAUACACACCACAUAAUUGGGUAUAUACAUACUCGUACAUAUACUUUUUUGCAUGGUAACCACAUACAUACAUAAUUUCGUUACUUGGUAUAUGCAUACCCACGUAUGUAAAUAAAUUUUUUAGUAGGUAUAUGCAUACCCACGUAUGUAUAUAAUUUUGUUAGUAGGUAUAUGCAUACCCGCGUAUGUAUAUAAUUUCGUUACUAGCUAGAACAUAGAAUAGUUUAUUAUAUACAUACCCGCGUAUUAGAUACUCAUAUUGAAUUGUUAGGAAACAAAAAAAGAACAUAGUAGUUCAGAAAAUAAUUUAUUGGGUAUAUAAUACCCGCUUAUGUGCAUAAUUUCGUUAGUAAGUAUUUGAUACCCGUAUUAGAUAGUCAGGAGAGAAAAAUACGUAUAUUAGAUACCCAUAGUAGGUCAGAAAAAAUAAACAAUAAUACGAUUUAUUGUAUGGCAAGUCUUGCAUGCCUAAUAUUUAAAAAUGGAAACAAAAUGUAAGAAUGGUAAGCCUUGCAUGAAGAAUAGUUAGGAAAGAAAUCAAACAAUCAUUGUGCAGCGAUACCUACCUAAAACAAGCAAGGUGCCCGAGCACCUAGGUGUCCCAGAUAAUUUACCUAUAUAUACAUGAAAAUUUAAAAGUAUUCAUGUGCCUAAAACUUAUUGUUCAUCUCGUAUUAAGAGAAAUAUUUAUCACAUGUUAGAAUAUAGGUUCAUUUUUUAAAAUUGUUUCCAUNNNNNNNNNNNNNNNNNNNNNNNNNNNNNNNNNNNNNNNNNNNNNNNNNNNNNNNNNNNNNNNNNNNNNNNNNNNNNNNNNNNNNNNNNNNNNNNNNNNNNNNNNNNNNNNNNNNNNNNNNNNNNNNNNNNNNNNNNNNNNNNNNNNNNNNNNNNNNNNNNNNNNNNNNNNNNNNNNNNNNNNNNNNNNNNNNNNNNNNNNNNNNNNNNNNNNNNNNNNNNNNNNNNNNNNNNNNNNNNNNNNNNNNNNNNNNNNNNNNNNNNNNNNNNNNNNNNNNNNNNNNNNNNNNNNNNNNNNNNNNNNNNNNNNNNNNNNNNNNNNNNNNNNNNNNNNNNNNNNNNNNNNNNNNNNNNNNNNNNNNNNNNNNNNNNNNNNNNNNNNNNNNNNNNNNNNNNNNNNNNNNNNNNNNNNNNNNNNNNNNNNNNNNNNNNNNNNNNNNNNNNNNNNNNNNNNNNNNNNNNNNNNNNNNNNNNNNNNNNNNNNNNNNNNNNNNNNNNNNNNNNNNNNNNNNNNNNNNNNNNNNNNNNNNNNNNNNNNNNNNNNNNNNNNNNNNNNNNNNNNNNNNNNNNNNNNNNNNNNNNNNNNNNNNNNNNNNGGGACCAACAGGCAUCCACGCGUCAGCAUUUCAGGGGCUGGGGUUUUUGUUUUUUUUUAAAGGGGGGGUUGGGGGGUUUUGGGGGGGGGGGUUAAUUUAGGUGUUUCAUAUAUUGUGUUAGCUAGCUAAUUAAUAGAGAGAAGUGUCCUCUCUUAUCUCCGUGCUUGGUCGACGCUACGUACUAUAUACGUAUGGAGAGGACUAGACACGCUAGCUAGUAAGCAAAUGAAGGAAACAGAAGAUCGUCAUGAACAUAUGCAUACAGAGAGAAGUGAUAUCGACCACCUCUCCUUCUCUGAGAGAUUGGUCGAACAACAAGUUCUCGUAUAUCUAUCUGACACUACCGGCUACAUAUAUACAAUAAUUAUCUCUUACAAUAUAAUCUCCUAAUUAAAUUGUAAGAACACAGGGUCCACAUAGUAUUCUCCGUUCUCAGCGAUCACGUGGUCAAGGAAGAAUGCCGCCAAUUCCUCUUGAAUUGCUCGCAUACGAUCUGGUGCUAGGAGUUCAUCCCGCAUCCGAAACAUCUAAUUUGAAGAAGGGGGUCAAUACAUAUAUAUAUAUAAAUAAAUGAAACUCGACACAAAUGAUGGUAAUAAAAUAAAAUUGUGAAUAUUAUUGCUUACGCACUUCAUAUUGUUCGUCAGAGUAGCCCCGCUCACAGGUCGUGUGGCGGAUAGACUCGCAAACGUAGUAUCCACAGAAAUCAUUCCCGUAUUCCUGCCACAACCACUUUACAAGAAAUAGAGGUCAAUCUAACUGAUAACCAAGCAUGCUAAAUGGUAUUGAUGAAACUAGCGCUUGAAUCACUAGGAGAUGUGCGGAACAUGCUACUAUAGUACUUACUUUCGGGUGUCUAAAUUGCAGCUUCUUCGGCAGUCCCGGAGCUUUUGUGGUGAAUUUUCUCCAAACCCUGCCAGACAAAGAAAACAAUUACUUGAUAUCAGGAAAUGAACAAAGUUGCUGAUAUGGUGGAUAAUGAUCGAUUUAGCUUACUUCUCGAGCAUUUGAGUCAUGUCCGCAUAGUCCUGGGGAUCUUUUCGUCUCGAGUCUAAGACGGUUACUACUCCCUGCUCAAGCUUAAUCUCUAGGAGAAUAUAGUGAAAGCUGCGCAUGCAUGCAUAAGUCAUCAAUUACAUUACCAUAACCUGGACUAAUAAGGGAAACCGAAUAUGCACAAGACAGUAACACUCACUUGAAGUUGUAAGGAAAGAGUAUUAUAUCUUUGUUUUGAUUUAAUACCAUACAUUGAAACUAUGUAAAACAUUUCAAUGCGAAAACAAAUGCGAUCAUAAUCGCAACCAAGGUAACAAUUGAUCCAACGGCAUAAUGAUACCAAGCCUCGGUAUGAAUGGCAUAUUUUCUAAUCUUUCUAAUCUUCAAGUGCAUUGCAUCCAUCUUGAUCUUGUGAUCAUCGACGACAUCCACAACAUGCAACUCCAAUAUCAUCUUCUCCUCCUCAAUUUUUUUUAUUUUUUCCUUCAAGUAAUUGUUUUCUUCUUCAACUAAAUUCAACCUCUCGACAAUAGGGUCGGUUGGAAUUUCCGGUUCAACCACCUCCUAGAUAAAUAAAAUCUAUGUCACCUUGGUCGGCAUAUUUGUCAUAAACAAUAAAUGAACCAAAUAGUUAUAAAAAGAUAAUAUAUACCACAUCCGAAUCAUAGACAGGACGAGGGCCGACGGGGGCGGAUACCAAAACCAUCGCACUAUGUAAUAAGAAGGAAUAAUAAAAGUAACAAAAUUAGACAAGUAUCUAUUUAAAGUAAGAAUUUUUUUCUUUCAGAAAGAAGAUAAGAACAAGAGGCUCACCACGGUGGUGCUGGCGACGAGAUCGGCACGGGCGAUCGACGGCGGUGAAGACGGGGACGGGACGUGACGGACCGCUAAACCUAGACAAAUCUCGGGGAAAAUGGAGCUCGAAGGUCGAGUUUCGAGAGGAGAAAGAUUAACUAGUGUGGCUCAGACAUUUCAUCGAACACCUCAUGUGCAUAGGAGGUGAGCUAGAGCACCCAAAUGCCCUCCCCUCGCCGGCCAGAAAAAACAGAGCACUGUGGAGUGCUCUGCUGUGGCGAUGGGGUAUAUAUAGGCAACUCAUUGGUCCCGGUUCGUGGCACCAACCGGGACUAAAGGGGGGGCAUUGGUCCCGGUUGGUGCCACGAACCGGUACGCAUGCCCCCCUUUAGUCUCGGUUGGUGGCACCAACCAGGACCAAAGGCCUUGUGCUGCCCCGCAUCAAAAGUUUAGUCCCACCUCGCUAGUUGAGAGAGCUCGAGAGUGGUUUAUAAGCGCUGUUGUUCCCACCCUCUCGAGCUCCUCUCAACUGCAGGCUUUCGGGCCUAACCGUUCUCUUUGCCUGUAGGGCCUACUGGGCCUUCUGCGGGCCUGAAUCCUGGCCCAUGGAUGGGUUUCAAGUCGUAUUCAGGCCGUGGUGGCCUAGUAGGUGGCAUAAUUUUUUUCCCUGUUUUUUGUUUUCUCUUUUGCUUUAUUUAUUUUGUUUUGUUUCUACUUACAACAAAAAACUUAUUUAUUUUAUUACAUUUUGUUUCUAAUUACUUAUGUAUUUUACUUUAUUUAUUUUAUUUUUAUUUAUUUUACUACUGCUAUUUUUAUUUAUUUUACUGCUGCUAUUUUUAUUUAUUUUAUUAAGGUUUAUUUAUUUUAUUUACUAUAGUUUAUUUUAUUUUAUUUUAUUAAGGUUUAUUUAUUUUUAUUUAUUUUAUUAAGGUUUAUUUAUUUUAUUUACUAUAAAAAAUGAACAUAGAUACGCCUAUAGAGAAAAUUCAACCUAAAUUCAUAAUAAAUUUCUAUGAAAUUCAAAGAAAUUUACUCUGAAUUUAGGUCAAAUUCCCUGUAUAAGGGCAUCUAUUUUCACUUUGAGAGGAGCUCAACAAGGCAGAGAGGGAGGGGCUUAUAAACCGGUGUGAGCGCCCUUCGGUUGGCGAGGUGGGACUAAACUCUGACUGCUACUAGGACCAAACCUUUAGUCCCCGUUUGUGGUAUGAACCGUGACUAAAGGGUGAGCCUCUGGUCCCGGUUCAAGCCACCAAUCGGGACCAAUGGUGGUGGGCCAGGAGCGAGGCCUAUUGGUCCCGGUUUGUCCCACCAACCGGGACCAAAGGGGCCGGACGAACCGGGACCAAUGCCCCCACGAGGCCCGGCAGGCCCCUGGCCGCACGAACCGGGACCAAUGCUCACAUUAGUCCCGGUUCGUGACUGAACCGGGACUAAUGUGGAUAUUGCCCUGUGAUCAAAGCCCAGUUUUCUACUAGUGCAUAUAUGUCGCUAUGAACAUGUAAUCCUAUAAACCACUCAAUGUCGGAGUUAGCACGCCUUCAACGAAAAUGCCCAAUGGUUGGUCUCACGGCCAUUAUGCGGGCCACAUUGUUUUUCAGUUGUCUUUUAUGUUCUCUUUAUUUUUGUUAUUUUAUUGAGUUUUGAUAUUUCUUUUAGUUUUUCCCUUAAUUUUUUGGACUUAGUUUCUAUUUUUGGAUGAAUAUGUAAAUGCUUCUAAAAUUGAUAAACAUAUAUCUCAAUGAUUAGUACAGAUGAAAACCUCUUCUCAAUUGUAUGACCUUUUCUUUAAAACGGAUGAAUAUUUAUUUCCAUUGGAGGGGCAUUUAUUUAAUAUGACAUGAAUAAUUGUUAAAUAUAUAUCUCACUUUUAAUUUCACAUGUGCAUUUCUCCAUUAUUAAUUUCGUCUUUGUCACCAUUUUUAGAAUUCCUCACCUAAUUUUUUAUUAUUUUCAAAAACAAUUGCGCAAUGUUUUUACCAACCCAUGUCUCUACACCAUAGUAUACAAAUUCCGCUCCCUUGAGAUCCAUGAUGCAUGGACAAUAUCAAAAAUUCACCUUUUCAGAGCACGACUUCUAUUUUUUUCUCUCUUAGAGACAAAAUGGGUCAUUUCUUUUGCACAUAUACAAAAGAAAUGAGCAUGUGCGAUGUAAAAAUGUUCAUAUUUAACAAAAUUGUGUAUUUUUUUAAUGUUUUUUGUUGUGUGUUGGUAGGUUGUUGCCAAUCCCGACAUGAAUAAAAAUGACAUAUAGCCAUGGUUUAGCUGAACGAUUUGUCCAACUAUUUCUCAUUUUAGUUGGUUCAUCUCAGCAUGGAUUUACUUAUGUAUAACUCUGAAGAGGCACUUGGCUACAAACCUUUAUAUUUCUAGAACUAAGAGGCUAGAAAAAUAUAACGCCAAAAUAGAUAAGAGUGACGAAUAUUGGUGAGAGGAGUAGAUUGGAUGCGGGGAUAAGGUAAAACACACCUCAAUGAUCCCAACGCAAUCGGUGUGGAACCGUCCAAAGACCAUCAAGUCCAGGUGGAGAAAAUGACUGCGAUGCGUUAGGAGCGGCGAUAAUAAUACGGAGGACGGCGGAACAGCAGAGGCGGGAAGAAGGGGUGAAGCGAGGAAAAGUAGGGCAAAAAGAGAUGGCCGAUGCGCAUUAAGUGAGGGAAGUGACUGCAAAGUUUGGAAUGGCGGCGUAUAAAUAUACACCACAGCUUGAUCACACUUUAUUGUACACCUUCAUUGUUGGGCUUAAAUGAACCAGCACAAGUGUCGUCACCGCUGACAAGAAAAAGAAGUUGACAUUAGCGAUGAUUCUUCUGCAUUUUCAUCAUGGGAAAUUACUACCAAAAAUAGUUUCCCUUUUCAGGAGAGUUCUUUCUUUCGAGGCUGUCCUUUUUUUUUAGAAGAUUGAGGCAAUCCUUUUUUUUUUGAGCGACUUGAUGCAAUCACACAACAACGACUUACUUUCCAAUCUUUACAUAAUAAUAAAGCAUGCAGUGCUUCUGUCCGUUAACCGUCACGCACUUUUUACAAAAAAUCCCUUGUGUUUUUCGGUAAUUAAACCCGCAGUCCCCUUUUAAGUGGAUAUCUAAAAAAUGAUUUGUUCUGGCACAAAACCCCCUGCCAUUCGGUAUAUUCAACCCGUGGUGCUCCUUCCUCUCCAUAUUCUGUAUCUUAUCCGCCCCCUUUCUAGCGGCGGAGGACAGGGAGGUUUGGCCGGCGGGGAUCGGGGAUCGGAAAGUCCCUUGAUCCCGCGAGACGCAGCCAUUGUACCUACCAUCUCUUGAGCUAGGAGCCGGCGGUGACAUCCCGGAGUGUGGCAUGUGAAGGAAAUUGCCCUAGAGGCAAUAAUAAAGUUGUUAUUUAUAUUUCCUUAUAUCAUGAUAAAUGUUUAUUAUUCAUGCUAGAAUUGUAUUAACCGGAAACUUAGUACAUGUGUGAAUACAUAGACAAACAGAGUGUCACUAGUAUGCCUCUACUUGACUAGCUCGUUAAUCAAAGAUGGUUAAGUUUCUUAGCCAUGGACAAAGAGUUGUCAUUUGAUGAACGGGAUCACAUCAUUAGAGAAUGAUGUGAUUGACUUGACCCAUCCGUUAGCUUAGCACUAUGAUCGUUUAGUUUAUUGCUAUUGCUUUCUUCAUAACUUAUACAUGUUCCUAUGACUAUGAGAUUAUGCAACUCCCGAAUACCGGAGGAACACUUAGUGUGCUAUCAAACGUCACAACGUAACUGGGUGACUAUAAAGAUGCUCUACAGGUGCCUCCGAUGGUGUUUGUUGAGUUGGCAUAGAUCGAGAUUAGGAUUUGUCACUCCGAUUGUUGGAGAGGUAUCUCUGGGCCCUCUUGGUAAUGCACAUCACUAUAAGCCUUGCAAGCAAUGUGACUAAUGAGUUAGUUGCGGGAUGAUGCAUUACGGAACGAGUAAAGAGACUUCCGGUAACGAGAUUGAACUAGGCAGUGAGAUAUCGACAAUCGAAUCUCGGGCAAGUAACAUACCGAUGACAAAGGAAACAAUGUAUGUUGUUGUGCGGUUUGACCGAUAAAGAUCUUCGUAGAAUAUGUAGGAACCAAUAUGAGCAUUCAGGUUCCGCUAUUGGUUAUUGACCAGAGAUGAGUCUCGGUCAUGUCUACAUAGUUCUCGAACCCGUAGGGUCCGCACGCUUAACGUUCGGUGACGAUCAGUAUUACGAGUUUAUUUGUUUUGAUGUACCGAAGGUAGUUCGGAGUCCCAAUAUGAUCACGGACAUGACGAGGAGUCUCGAAAUGGUUGAGACAUAAAGAUCGAUAUAUUGGAAUGCUAUGUUUGGACAUCGGAAGGGUUUCGAAUGAGUUCGGGCAUUUAUCGGAGUACCGGGGGUUACCGGAACCCCCCGGGGAGUCAUUGGGCCCUAAUGGGCUUUAGUGGAGAGAGAGAGAGGGGCGGCUAGGGCAGGCCGCGCGCCCCCUCCCCCUUGGGUACGAAUUGGACUAGGGAAGGCGGGGCGGCGCCCCCCCUUUCCUUCCCCCUCUCUCCUCCUUCCCUCUUCUCCUACUCCAACAAGGGAAAGGGGGAAUCCUACUCCCACCGGGAGUAAGACUUCCCCCCUUGGGCAUGCCAUAGAGGGCCGGCCCUCCCCCUCCUGCACUCCUUUAUAUACGGGGGAGGGGGCACCCCAUAGACACACAAGUUGAUUAUUUAGCCGUGUGUGGUGCCCCCCUCCACAGAUUUCCACCUCGGUCAUAUCGUUGCUGUGCAUAGGCGAAGCCCUGCGCCGGUAGUUUCAUCAUCACCGUCAUCACGCCGUCGUGCUGACGAAACUCUCCCUCGACCUCAGCUGGAUCUAGAGUUCGUGGGACGUCACCGAGCUGAACGUCUGCAGGUCGCGGAGGUGCCGUACCUUCGGUGCUAGGAUCGGUCGGAUCGUGAAGACGUACAACUACAUCAACCACGUUGUCAUAACGCUUUCGCUUUCGGUCUACAAGGAUACGUGGACACACUCUCCCCGCUCGUUGCUAUGCAUCACCUAGAUGGAUCGUUCGUGUGCGUAGGAAUUUUUUUAAAAUUAUUACGUUCCCCAACAACGCGACUUCCCUUAUUCUAGCACCCAACCGAGGUGCCCGACGUAUCUCCAGGCUGUCCGUCGUCAUGGCCAGGGCAAAGGCGAUAGCGACCUCCUCGGUCUUCGUCCUGUGAACAUUGAGAGAGGGAGAGAGAAGGAGAAGAUAGGAGGAGAUGGACGGAGCUGGGCGGUGCGGGGUCAAAGCUGCUGCUCCGGCGGCGUCUAUGGGCGUCGGCGGCGGGGAACACUAGGAGGAGGCGGAGAGAGAGUCUCGACACUGCUCGAGCGUGCUCGCGCACACCUCGGGGAUACAGCGUGUGUGGAGGUGCUCGGCAGUUGGUUAAAUCGGGGGAUUCUGAAGGAGAGAGGUUGGCAAAGUAAAAGUAUUAGCGGGGGGUGCCCUGCAAGUCACUCAUGGUCCGUCAUGUCUUGCGCCAACCAGGAUGUGUGGUCAACGUUCGAGCUGCGUGUAGCCACACUGUCAGUGGCGCUCGACGUGUGGCCAUUGUGUUCCUGGGAAGUAGCAUUGUGGUGUAUCGGCUGAUUGACAACAUUAUGUGAGGCGCCCCGCAACCAGACAGCAAGGGUGCUCGCGACCCUAUUUGUUUUUUUUUUAUAAAGAGUGAAUUUUUAUUGUCUCAAAAUAAAGCAUCAAGAGGAUACAAACACUAUGAGCACACACCCGACUUCUGCAUAGGUAAAAUGCACACAGCAAAGCGAACCUCCUAGCUAACACGCUGUUUUGGUCAGUGGAUUGUUAGCCAUGCUGCACGUCGAUUUUUGUGCCUGCCUCCUUCAGUUUAACAUUUGGUCUUGCAUGUUGAGUUGACCCAACUGGUAUAUUUUUUUGCGGGCGCCUCCUACUGGUGUACGCCCCUUAUUAAACUCCACAUGUCCUUUUGUAUUCAAUCUCUAUGGAAUUUUGCAACAUCGACUAUUCAAUGUGCCAACCGCUGCUCUGAAAAUAUUUGAUGCUGGAUUUGAGUUUCUUUUAAUUAAAUUCCCUGGUUUCAUAUGAUUUGAAUUUCUUUUAAUUAAAUUCUCUGGUUUCAGACUUAGUCCUUUUUGCGGCUGGUAGGUUUGCACACCUGAGGAGCUAGCAGGGGGUGUUCCUUCAUCAUCUUCGAGGGGUCGCAUCGUAGGAUAUGGCAAUGUGAUGCAUGUUGGCAAAAUCUUAUCUGUAAGUCGGUCUGGCUGUAAGACUUGGUGAUUUCUAAUAAUAGAAAUUGGAGAGGAAAUUCUCUUUAUCAACAACAACAAAAUCUGGUUUCAUAAGUUGUGUCACAUGAAACUCAAUCCUCAAAUUGACUGCGAUAAAAGUAGCAUAUAUCUUAUUUGUGAUGUAAAUAUUUAGUUUCAAUAGUUGUGCAUCUGCCCCAAAAAUUUUGCUUUGCUGAACCAAUACUCGAAUAACUAGCUCGCCUAUGUUUUCUGGUGGUGUUAUAUCAGCAAGUUGAGCACGAUGAUAAUUAAUGACACAAGUAAGAAACAUGUACUUUUUUCUCCUGUUGCAACGCACGGGCAUUUUUGCUAGUGAUAGGCCUAAUAUAGGCCCAUCACUAGUUGAUCCGUGGCCCAAAAUAAAACCCUAAUUACCCGAAACGAAACCCUAAUCGAAAUUGCUAUAUAAGGUCCCCAAUCCCCUGCCCUCACAGUACCCAUCUCAGCCGCCACAGAACCCCAUCCGAGCACAUCUCGCAUCUAUCCUCCACCUCCACACGGCGGCAGGCCAGCAAGCUCGACUCCGUCCCUAUUUUUGCUCUCGGUAGCAGCGGUUGAGAUGAGAUUACCCCAUACCCUGCAGAGAGCGUCAGCUCGACACCGUACACGCGUAUGGGGUAAUCUCAACUCAACAGCCGCUCCAUGUGAGCUUUUCCUUGGUGUUUGUUAAAUCUCAAGAAAGUUGUCCGCAGGGAUUAAUUAAAGCUUUCAGACAACAAGGUUAGUGGUGCAAUUUCUUGGUUAUUGACAGAAUUUUUUAGUCUUCGU